CGCGCAAAUUACCCAAUCCUGACACAGGGGAGGUUAGUGACCUAUAUAUAACGAUACAGGGCCCAUUGGUCUUGUAAUUGGUAUGAGUACAAAUGUAAAUACCUUAACGAGGAACAAUUGGAGGGCAAGUCUGGUGCCAGCAGCCGCGGUAAUUCCAGCUCCAAUAGCGUAUAUUAAAGUUGUUGCAGUUAAAAAGCUCGUAGUUGAACUUUGGGCCUGGGCGGGCGGUCUACCUAUGGUUUGUACUGCUGCGGCCGGGUCUUUCCUUCUGGCUACCCCUUCCGGGGGGAACCCAGGACGAUUUACUUUGAGGAAAAUUAGAGUGUUCAAAGCAGGCCUUUGGCUCGGAUAUAUUAGCAUGGAAUAAUAGAAUUAGGACCGUAUGGUUCUAUUUUGGUUGGUUUCUAGGGACCAUCGUAAUGAUUAAUAGGGACGGUCGGGGGCAUCAGUAUUCAGUCGUCAGAGGUGAAAUUCUUGGAUUGACUGAAGACUAACUACUGCGAAAGCAUUUGCCAAGGACGUUUUCAUUAAUCAAGAACGAAAGUUUAGGGGAUCGAAGAUGAUCAGAUACCGUCGUAGUCUUAACCAUAAACUAUGCCGACUAGAGAUCGGGGGGGGCUUUUUGCGCACUCGGCAUCUUACGAGAAAU
RNAcentral lists this ribosomal RNA (649 nucleotides) under Pichia fermentans. Its description in RNAcentral is "SSU rRNA". It matches the Rfam family "Eukaryotic small subunit ribosomal RNA", at positions 433 to 1098 of the family's 1831-position model. Lineage: Eukaryota; Fungi; Ascomycota; Pichiomycetes; Pichiales; Pichiaceae. The record is from RNAcentral.